CAGCCGCCGCGGUAACACAGAGGGUGCGAGCGUUAAUCGGAUUUACUGGGCGUAAAGCGUGCGUAGGCGGCUUUUUAAGUCGGAUGUGAAAUCCCUGAGCUUAACUUAGGAAUUGCAUUCGAUACUGGGAAGCUAGAGUAUGGGAGAGGAUGGUAGAAUUCCAGGUGUAGCGGUGAAAUGCGUAGAGAUCUGGAGGAAUACCGAUGGCGAAGGCAGCCAUCUGGCCUAAUACUGACGCUGAGGUACGAAAGCAUGGGGAGCAAACAGGAUUAGAGACCCCCGUAGUCCCUGUCUCUUAUAC
RNAcentral lists this ribosomal RNA (301 nucleotides) under uncultured bacterium. RNAcentral describes it as "partial 16S ribosomal RNA". It matches the Rfam family "Bacterial small subunit ribosomal RNA", at positions 509 to 807 of the family's 1533-position model. The record is from RNAcentral.